GGGAUUAUGGCUCAGUGGUAGAGCGCUCACCUAGGAUGGGUGGGACCUGGGUUCGAUCCUCAGUACCA
Molecule: non-coding RNA, 68 nt
Organism: Ictidomys tridecemlineatus (thirteen-lined ground squirrel)
Lineage: Eukaryota; Metazoa; Chordata; Mammalia; Rodentia; Sciuridae
Source: Rfam